RNAcentral lists this ribosomal RNA (251 nucleotides) under uncultured prokaryote. RNAcentral describes it as "partial 16S rRNA". It matches the Rfam family "Bacterial small subunit ribosomal RNA", at positions 525 to 775 of the family's 1533-position model. The record is from RNAcentral.
ACGUAGGGGGCGAGCGUUAUUCGGAAUUACUGGGUGUAAAGGGUAUGUAGGCGGUUCCUCAAGUCGUGUGUAAAAGUCCAGAGCUCAACUCUGGGUUCGCGCACGAUACUGAGGAACUUGAGGGCUGGAGAGGUGAGCGGAAUUCCCGGUGUAGUGGUAAAAUACGUAGAUAUCGGGAGGAACACCAGCGGCGUAGGCGGCUCACUAGACAGUUUCUGACGCUAAGAUACGAAAGCGUGGGGAGCAAACAG